GUUUGGCCUCCACGUGCCUGCAUGACCUCCCUCCAACGCCUGUGUAUGCUCCUGAUGAGGUGGCGGAUGGUCUCCUGAGGGAUCUCCUCCCAGACCUGGACUAAAGCAUCUGCCAACUCUUGGACAGUCUGUGGUGCAACGUGACGUUGGUGGAUGGAGCACCCAGAUGUACUCAAUUGGAUUCAGGUCUGGGGAACGGGCGGGCCAGUCCAUAGCAUCAGUGCCUUCUUCUUGCAGGAACUGCUGACACACUCCAGCCACAUGAGGUCUAGCAUUGUCUUGCAUUUGGAGGAACCCAGGGCCAACCGCACCAGCAUAUGGUCUCACAAGGGGUCGGAGGAUCUCAUCUCGGUACCUAAUGGCAGUCAGGCUACCUCUGGCAAGCACAUGGAGGGCUGUGCAGCCCCCCAAAGAAAUGCCACCCCACACCAUUACUGACCCACUGCCAAACUGGUCAUGCUGGAGGAUGUUGCAG
Non-coding RNA from Pelobates cultripes (western spadefoot toad), 475 nucleotides. Lineage: Eukaryota; Metazoa; Chordata; Amphibia; Anura; Pelobatidae. The record is from the annotation of a GenBank genome assembly.